Molecule: long non-coding RNA, 5774 nt
Organism: Peromyscus californicus insignis
Lineage: Eukaryota; Metazoa; Chordata; Mammalia; Rodentia; Cricetidae
Exons: 3
Source: RefSeq, a predicted model, not a curated record
CUCGGCUUGGUAUGUGGAGAGGGAAAGGGCUUCUAUCUACUUGGCAUAAUGAUGGACGCAGAAAUGAAAUCCUUUAGCCCAUGUUUAGGGAACAGAAUCCUCUCCACUGGAGACAAUGAGGUCUGGAGUUGCAUUUUCCAGGGCCCUCUGACAGAAGGAUAAGCAGGCUACAGGCUCUGUGAAAACAAACAGAGCUGAAACAAGCUAGAAAAGUCAAGUUUUUCCACUAUCCCUUGUGUGUGGGCAGACACCACAAUGCAGGUGUGAGUUGCUUUGUAGUAGAAAAGAUGGAAAUUCUUGAUGUCCUGAGGUGAAUGAAUGGUGAAUGGUGACAUGAUGAAGCUUCCUUAGCAGAGGCUAGAAGAGGACCAGUCUACGUCAUUGGUUAAGAAACCCUGGCUCUCUGCAGUACUUUUUCUCCUGGAGUGAAUCAAUCAGAAUCCUGACAGAAAACAGUGAGAACUCAAAGGAACUAUUUACAGAGGUGGAAGGGAAAAAACAAGGUCAUAGCAACCACCGAAAGUUGCUAAAACCCUAAAGACAGGAGGGCAAAGGGAAGAAGCUGUUGCUGGAGGUCUAAGGUAGCCAUUGUCCAUUGUCAUAAAAGGGUGCUGAAUCUCAUUCCCCUCUGGAGUCAACAGUGAGAGAGCAGAGAGAGGACCUGGUGCAAAUAGGUCUUCUGCUUGCCUGUCUCCUGAAGUACCUCCAAGAAACUAAGACCAGCUGUAAUUUAAAAGGCAAGGAGAUAAGGAGACACACCACACUCAGAGGUCAGCAGAGUGGGCCAGAGUACACAUUCAUCCAACAUUAUGAUGUUUACAGAUCUAUGCUACAACCCUGGACACCUCAAUUCUUGGUUAAAAACAAGUUGUAAAUGUCAAAUAAAUCACACUGAGAAUGUAUGUGUGUGGGGGUGUGCAAACAAAAUACCAGAUGCUCCACAGUUUAUGAUGGGGUCAUAAAACAUCUCUCAUUAAGUUGAAGAUAUUGCAAGUAGAAAAUAGAUUUAGUACUCCUAAUUGCUGAACAUCACAGCUUGACUUAACCUACCUUCGUGUGCUCAGAACACUUGGCCUGCAAUUGGACAUUGUGAAAGGUUACCUGCCACAUAUUGCUAGCUUGGGGAAAGAUCAAGAUUCAAAAUACAGUUUGUACAGAAUGUAUACCUAUUUUCCAGAACUCUAAAAGUAGAGCCAUUGGAAGUUGGGGGCGGGCAUAUAGAGUGGCAUGUACCAACCACUAGAGCAUGAAGACAGCACCCCCAACAGGCCAGAGGAUCCUUUACAAGAGCUAGCAGCAGCUCAACACUUAGCUCUCAUAUAGGAAGUAGAGAACUAUGGGAAGUUCGUUUAGCUAGUUGCCCAAGCAGCAUAAUUUUGGAGGUGAAAGGGAAAGCAUUGUGGGUUUCAUCUUUACCUGAAAGCCAGUAUAAUUAGGAAACAUUGCAAUUUAAAUCAGUCACCUAGUCACAAAGAACAUCCACCUCUUUGGAGAGAACACAGCGCUGUCACAGGGGCAGGGACUGAACACCCGAGCCAGCUUCUUCUCACAGAGUUUGGAAUAAUAAUGGCAGAUGCACAGCUGUGAAGGCAAAGCCAUCACCUGUCAGUGCCAUAGGCAUCCAGAGCCCAUUAAAGUAGGCAACCCUUCCCUUUGAAUGUCUCUGUUGAGUGAAGUCCCAAGAAGGCAGCAACAGUAGUCUUGAGUGAAGAAAGCAGCUUGCUCUUCUAACAGUCCUAUUAUCAGAGCAAGUCCCAUCUACGUUUCUCUCAAGCUCAUUCUUAGUUGUGAUAAAAUGCACAUAAAAUGUACUAUCUUAAUCAUUUUUAAGCGUACAGCUGAGUCGUGUUAAGUACAUUCUCAUUUUUGUAAAACCAACCUCCAGAACCCUUUCAUCUUGGAGAAUGGACAUUCUACACUCAUUAAACAAUUUUCAUUUCCAUCUGGCUUCGACUUCUCUACACCACUCACAUAAAUGGUGUUAUACAUUAUUUUUGUGAGUGGCUCCUCUUACUUGGCAUAACGUUUCAAUGGGUCAUUGAAGUUGUCGCAGGUGUCCACAUUUUGUUCAUAUUUAAGAUUGAGCAAUAUUAUACUGUAUGGUUACAUCUUGUUUAUCUGUUCACCUAUUGCAAGAUACUCAGGUAGUUUCUGCUUCUUAGUCAUCAGUCAUAAUGCUGUGAUCAUCUAUACAAAUAUCUCUUCAAAAACCUUUGUUUUCAGUUUGAGUAUGCUCAUAAAUUGAAUCACUGUUGUAUGAGCUUUUUAUUCACUUACAAUCUAAUUAGUUCUGAAGUUACAGAUUAAUUUUUUUUUUCUGAACAGGACAAUGUGGGUUCCUUCUGUAUUCCAUAAAACAAGGUAUUGUGGAGGAAAGGAUCUAAAACUUGACAUCAUAGCUUUUGGAUACCAGAUGCCAUUUUAGGGCUGAGAAUAUAUAUCAAUGGUAGAACAUUUGCCUAGCAAGUGUGAAGCCUUGGGAAAAUCCCAAGGGAUGGUAGAGGAGGGGGCAGGAAAGCUGGCAGUGGAGAAAAUGAAAACAAACCCAUUUUAAUGCUGUAAAGGCUAUGUACUCUUGGACAUGUUCCUUAACAUCCCAGUAACCUGUGUAGUCCACUCAUGAGAGUGGACUAACUCAUGUGAUUGAUCUCCUAGGGGUGUCAUAGCAAAGCACCAAUAACUUUGUGUAUCAGGCACUUGAAAUGUACUUUUUCACAGAUCUGGACACUAAAAAUCCCUAAUCAAGAUAUCAGAAAGAUCAGUUCCUUUUGGAGAACUCAGAGGAAAAAGGCUAUGCCACACUUCCUUCUCUCUGUUUCCUGUGGCUGUUUUUAGAAGUCUUUGGAGUCCUUAGAAUGCAGCUCCAUGACUCUGAAGUCUGCCCUCUUCCUCCUGUGUGCCUGAGUGUCCGUGAUGCAUUCUCUUCUCUGGGAUCACCUAAAUCCCCUUCAUUUUACAAGGACACCAGUAAUUGAAUAAAAGCCACACUAUGAUAAAAGUACUGGAGAGAUUAGGGACACAAGGGACAUAAUUCAACAUAAUCAAGGCAGUUUACAGCAAGCCCAUAGCUUAUAUCAACUUAAAUAAAGAAAAACUCAAAGCAAUUUCACUAAAAUCAGGAACAAGACAAGGUUGUCCACUCUCUCCAUACCUAUUCAAAUAUAGUACUUGAAGUCUUGGUGAGAACAAUAAGACAACUGCAGGAGAUCAAGAUCAUACAAAGUGGAAAGGAAGAAGUCAAAGCAUUCUUAUUUUCACACUACAUGACAGUAUACAUAAAUGACCCUAAAAAUUCCACCAGGAAACUCCUACAGCUGAUAAACACUUUCAUAAAAGUGGCUGGAUAAAAAAAUAAAUAGCUAUCCUAUACACAAAUGACAAACAGACUGAGGAAAAAAAACAGGGUGACAAGACCUUCCAUAAUAGCCUCGAAUAAUACAACAUAUCUUGGAGUAACUCCAAGCAAGGAAGUGAAAGACUGGAACAAUUAAAAACUUUAAGACAUUGAAGAAGGAAACUGAAAAAGAUAUCAGAAUAUGGAAAGAUCUCGCAUGCUCAUGGAUCAAUAGGAUUAAUAUAGUAAAAGUGGCCUUCCUAAAAAAAGCAAUCUACAGAUUCAAUGCAAUCCCCAUCAAAACUCCAACACAAUUCUAUAUAGAAUUUGAAAGGACAAUUCUCAGUUGCAUAUGGAAAUAUAAAAAACCCAGGAUAGAUGAAACAGUAAUUCAUAAUAAAAGAACUGCUAGAGGUAUCACCAUUCCAAUUUCAAAUUGUGCAACAGAGCUAUAGUAAUAAAAAUGGCAUGAUAUUAGCACAAAAAUAGACACAUUGAUCAAUGGAAUCAAAAUGAAGGCCAAGCCAUAAAUCCACACACAUACGAACACAUGACUUUUUUUUAUAAAGAGGCCAGAAAUAUACCCUGGAAAGAAGACAGCAUCUUCAAAGACUGGUGCUAGUAAAACUAGAUGUCUGCAAGCAGAAAAAUGCAAAUCAAUCUAUAUUUAUCACCCUGCACAAAACUCAACUUCAAGUGAAUCAAAGACCUCAACAUAAAACCAAAUGCACUGAACCCGACAGAAUAGAAAGCGGGGAAUAGCCUUCAGUUCAUCGGCACAGGAGACUACUGGACAUCAACAGUGCAGGCACCAAGAUCAGCAAUGAACAGGUGGGACCUCAAGAAACUGAGACGCUUCUGCACUACAGGGGACACUGUCACUUGGACAAAGUGUCACACUACAGAAUGGGAAAGGAUUUUUACCCACUCCACAGCUAAUAGAGGACUAACAUCCCAAAUACAUAAAGAAUCAAAAAACUAGAUAUCAAUAAAAUAACCCAAUUUUAAAAUGAAGUACAGACCUAAACAGAAUUCUCAGAAGAGGAAACUCAAAUGGCUGAGAAACGACUUGAAGAAAUGUUCAACAUCCUUAGUCAUCAGGGAAAUGCAAAUCAAAACUAGGUUAGAUUUCAUCUUACACCCAUCAGAAGAGCAAAAAUCAAGAAAAUGAAUGACAGUUCAUGCAAGGAUGUGAGGUAAGGGGGACACUCCUCCAUUGCUGGUGGGAGGGCAAACUUGUACAGCCACUGUGGAAAUCAAUGUGGCGAUUCUUUAGGAAGAUGGGAUUUGACCUACCUCAAGAUCCAGCUAGACCACUCUGGGACAUAUACUCAAAGGUCACUUCAUCCUAUCAGAGACACUUGUUCAACCAUGUCCAACCACGUCCAUUGCUGCUUUACUCAUAAUAGCCAGAUAUUGGAAACUACCUAGAUGUCCCUCAACAGAAGAAUGGAUAAAGAAAAUGUGGUACAUUUACACAAUGAGCUAUUACUCAGCCAUUUAAAAAAAUAAAAUCACAAAAUUCACAGAUAAAUGGAUGGGACUAGGAAAAAAAAUCAUCCUGAAUGACACAACUCAGACCCAGAAAGACAAAUAUGGCAUGUAUUUGCUUAUACAUAUGUGGACAUUAGCCGUUAAGUCAAUGAUAACAAAGCUACAAUCUGUAAAACCACAGAGGUUAGGUAUAAAGUAAGAAAUUAGAGGGAGACAGAUAGAUCUCCCUAGGAAAGGGAAGUAGAAUAGGUAUUUAUGGACGAAUGGGCUGUAGACUGGAACACGAGGCUCAAGUGGGCGGGGGGAAGGAGGAUGAAGGAAGGAAUAUGCAGAGAGAGUGCUAAAACUAAGGGUCAUCUGAGGGUCAAUAGUCAAACCUAAUAUAGAAGAUGCUUUCUAAAUGAAGGCAAUGUAAAUGAAAUCACCAAAUAAUGGGGCAGACAGAGCCCCAUUGUCACCAAAUGAAGCUUCUAGUACUGGGAUUGGGUUACAUCAAAUUUAGUUGUUGGCCAAAUGGGUCCCCUGGAAGCCCCCAAACAACCCAGGCUGUUGCCAAGACUAUAGAUUGGUUUCCAAAACUAAUGGCAGGGCCCCAUUGAUGAAGCCAACAAGUACAUAACUCAUUCAAUAGGAAGAAGUGGAGCUGGUGCCUUCACAGAGCCAUCACACCUAUGUGCUAGCAUCUUUGGUCCAGGAAGGUAUUCUGCAUGCUACCAAAUGAGAAACAUAAACAACAACCCAGCCACAAACCUUUUGAUCUACAGUGGUGUCCUGCCUGUAAGAUAUGCUACUGCAAUGGUGGCACAAAGUCUGUGGGAAUAACCAAACAAUAUCUGACUUGAUUAAAGGACCAUUACACAAGAUGGAAUCCAUACUGGCUAAACACUGCUUGGGUGACUACAAAUCUGAGACUAGACAGCCCAGGGACCUAGGGUAAAACCAAAUG